UUUUUCUACCGGGGAAAAAACUAGCAUAUCAAUAAGCGGAGGAAAAGAAACUAACAAGGAUUCCCUAGUAACGGCGAGUGAAGAGGGAAGAGCUCAAAUUUGAAAUCUGGUGGCUACGGUCAUCCGAGUUGUAAUCUAGAGAAGUGUUUUCCGUGCUGGACCGUGUACAAGUCCUUUGGAACAAGGCGUCAUAGAGGGUGAGAAUCCCGUCUACGACACGGACUACCAGUGCUCUGUGAUACACUCUCAACGAGUCGAGUUGUUUGGGAAUGCAGCUCAAAAUGGGUGGUAAAUUCCAUCUAAAGCUAAAUAUGGGCGAAAGACCGAUAGCGAACAAGUACCGUGAGGGAAAGAUGAAAAGCACUUUGGAAAGAGAGUUAAACAGUACGUGAAAUUGUUGAAAGGGAAACGCUUGAAGUCAGUCGCGUCUUCAGAAAUUCAGCUUGGCUUCUGCCUCGUGUACUUUUCUGUUGGACGGGCCAGCAUCAGUUUUGACCGCCAGAAAAAGGUGAGAGGAAGGUGGCACCUCCGGGUGUGUUAUAGCCUCUUAUCGUAUGUGGCGGUUGGGACUGAGGAUCGCAGCACGCCUUCAUGGCCGGGGUUCGCCCACGUAACGUGCUUAGGAUGCUGGCGUAAUGGCUUUAAGCGACCCGUCUUGAAACACGGACCAAGGAGUCUAACAUGCCUGCGAGUAUUUGGGUGGUAAACCCAUAUGCGGAAUGAAAGUGAACAGUUGGGACUUCUGUCAUGGAAGGCACCGACGCCCGGACCAGACCCAUUGGUGACGGAUCCGAGGUAGAGCAUGUAUGUUGGGACCCGAAGAUGGUGAACUAUGCCUGAGUAGGGUGAAGCCAGAGGAAACUCUGGUGGAGGCUCGUAGCGAUUCUGACGUGCAAAUCGAUCGUCGAACUUGGGUAUAGGGGCGAAAGACUAAUCGAACCAUCUAGUAGCUGGUUCCUGCCGAGCCUCCUCUCCCCGCGGUGGUUUUGGCCCACUUU
RNAcentral lists this ribosomal RNA (998 nucleotides) under Geastrum laneum. Its description in RNAcentral is "partial large subunit ribosomal RNA". It matches the Rfam family "Eukaryotic large subunit ribosomal RNA", at positions 1 to 995 of the family's 3401-position model. The record is from RNAcentral. Lineage: Eukaryota; Fungi; Basidiomycota; Agaricomycetes; Geastrales; Geastraceae.